GGGGCCGUAGCUCAGUUGGGAGAGCGCAGCAAUCGCACUGCUGAGGUCGUCGGUUCGAUCCCGUCCGGCUCCACCA
Molecule: transfer RNA, 76 nt
Filed under: Methyloceanibacter superfactus
Lineage: Bacteria; Pseudomonadati; Pseudomonadota; Alphaproteobacteria; Hyphomicrobiales; Hyphomicrobiaceae
Also listed under: 8 other names
Description: tRNA-Ala
Rfam family: tRNA
About the family: Transfer RNA (tRNA) molecules are approximately 80 nucleotides in length. Their secondary structure includes four short double-helical elements and three loops (D, anti-codon, and T loops). Further hydrogen bonds mediate the characteristic L-shaped molecular structure. tRNAs have two regions of fundamental functional importance: the anti-codon, which is responsible for specific mRNA codon recognition, and the 3' end, to which the tRNAs corresponding amino acid is attached (by aminoacyl-tRNA synthetases). tRNAs cope with the degeneracy of the genetic code in two manners: having more than one tRNA (with a specific anti-codon) for a particular amino acid; and 'wobble' base-pairing, i.e. permitting non-standard base-pairing at the 3rd anti-codon position.
Source: RNAcentral